GUGGUGACGCGUCACUUAAACAGUGUCACAAAACAAUAACUGGCGAAUUUAAUUACGCUCUCGCUGCCUAAGCGAAUAAAGUAGCUCAGGCUUAAUCACGCCAGAUAUGGUGUGACGGGACGUCUCCCGGGCGGUUCUGCCCUGAUCCAACCCGAUACGGAGGCGCACGGAAUCCGGGGCUGGCCUGAAGAUUGUUCCGGUCGGAAGGUGAGACAAAAAGGAACUAAGGUCCGGUUAGGUUGUUCUGCAGCUGGCCGGUCACAAAAAUCAAGCAGGACUAAGCAUGUAGAAAGCGUAUGGUCUCCAUGUUUGGACGCGGGUUCGACUCCCGCCAGCUCCACAA
RNAcentral lists this transfer-messenger RNA (343 nucleotides) under Bacteroidales bacterium. RNAcentral's name for it is "partial transfer-messenger RNA". It matches the Rfam family "transfer-messenger RNA", at positions 52 to 374 of the family's 374-position model. From Rfam's summary of the family: Bacterial tmRNA, also known as 10Sa RNA or SsrA, is named for its dual tRNA and mRNA-like properties. The record is from RNAcentral. Lineage: Bacteria; Pseudomonadati; Bacteroidota; Bacteroidia; Bacteroidales.